This 119-nucleotide ribosomal RNA is filed under the name Aegilops tauschii subsp. strangulata. The record is from RNAcentral. Lineage: Eukaryota; Viridiplantae; Streptophyta; Magnoliopsida; Poales; Poaceae.
GGAAGCGAUCAUACCAGCACUAAAGCACCGGAUCCCAUCAGAACUCCGAAGUUAAGCGUGCUUGGGUGAGAGUAGUACUAGGAUGGGUGCCCUCCUGGGAAGUCCUCGUGUUGAAUUCC